CCUACGGGAGGCAGCAGUGAGGAAUAUUGGUCAAUGGACGAGAGUCUGAACCAGCCAAGUAGCAUGAAGGAUGACUGCCCUAUGGGUUGUAAACUUCUUUUAUAUGGGAAUAAAAUGUUCCACGUGUGGGAUUUUGUAUGUACCAUAUGAAUAAGGAUCGGCUAACUCCGUGCCAGCAGCCGCGGUAAUACGGAGGAUCCGAGCGUUAUCCGGAUUUAUUGGGUUUAAAGGGAGCGUAGGUGGAUUGUUAAGUCAGUUGUGAAAGUUUGCGGCGCAACCGUAAAAUUGCAGUUGAAACUGGCAGUCUUGAGUACAGUAGAGGUGGGCGGAAUUCGUGGUGUAGCGGUGAAAUGCUUAGAUAUCACGAAGAACUCCGAUUGCGAAGGCAGUUCACUGGACUGCAACUGACACUGAGGCUCGAAAGUGUGGGUAUCAAACAGGAUUAGAUACCCUUGUAGUC
This 460-nucleotide ribosomal RNA is filed under the name uncultured bacterium. RNAcentral's name for it is "partial 16S ribosomal RNA". It matches the Rfam family "Bacterial small subunit ribosomal RNA", at positions 338 to 795 of the family's 1533-position model. The record is from RNAcentral.